Amphimedon queenslandica is the source of this 1095-nucleotide long non-coding RNA. RefSeq lists it as uncharacterized. The transcript has 8 exons. The record is from RefSeq and is a predicted model, not a curated record. NCBI's taxonomy places the organism in Eukaryota, Metazoa, Porifera, Demospongiae, Haplosclerida, Niphatidae.
GAUGUCUUCUUUGUCAUUUGCCCGCCAUUGCUCGGCUCUGCUUUUGUAGUGCCAUUAACACUGUUCCUGUCUUUAAAGAAGCACGGAAAUAUUCAAUUUGAUGAAAAUACACCAAAACCACGGACGCCAUGUCAGUAGACCUGGCCGUCGGCUGAGCCCGCGGCAUUCUUCACGUAGUAUCCUCUGCUGCUCUUCACCCACUUUAGACUUGAUUAGUUCUAUAUGUAGCCUACUGAAGUCCCAAGUUCAUUUGUUAUUGACCGGCGCCGGCCCAGUUGAUAGGAUGAGAUGUAUAUAUUACUAAACGGUUCAAGAAGACUGAAAUUAUAAGAGAAACUAAUAAAGAAAAACAAAAGAUUGUCCUUGGAAGUGAAUAUAACACAAUCGUAAGGAAGCAAUUAUUCAGCAAUAGUAAACUAUUGGAGCUAAUGAUGUCAUUUUAAAAUGAUAUGACAUUAUUUUAAUUAAUAGACUUGUACAAACUAUUUAUAGUUAUAAUACUACUGGAAUACAAGAACUUAAGGCGGAACAGUCAGUAUCAUCAUUUUAAAUAUUUUAUUAAUUUGUUUUUUUUAGAUUAAAACAUGUAAACAUGGACAUCAGUCUCAGUAAAGUUCAUGUAUAAACAGCUUAUUAUGAUUAAAUUUAUCACUUGGUAAUUGGCCUGGAGUGACUGCUUCCAUUUUGGCAACAUUUGUUUAAUUUUCAUAGUGAUUGAGACUUGACGAGUUCUAUAAUAGAAGUCACAACUUCAUUUGUUUUUGACACCGGCCCAGUUUUUAUUCAGGUAACAGGAUCAGAUGUAUCACUAAACGGUUCAAGAAGACUGAAAUUAUAAGAGAAACUAAUAAAGAAACACAAAAUAUUGUCCUUGGAAGUGAAUAUAACACAAUCGUAAGGAAGCAAUUAUUAAGCAAUAGUAAACUAUUGGAGCUAAUGAUGUCAUUUUAAAAUGUUAUAUAAUAAUACUACAGGAAUACAAAGAAUUCAAGGUGGAACAGUCAGUACUAUCAAUUUUACAAUUUUAAUAUGUUUUGUAAUUAAUUUGUUUGUUUAUUGUUUACUGUUGUGUUUGCUUAAGUUUUUAGUUAUUUU